This 231-nucleotide long non-coding RNA is filed under the name Medicago truncatula (barrel medic). RNAcentral describes it as "lncRNA gene12405". The record is from RNAcentral. Lineage: Eukaryota; Viridiplantae; Streptophyta; Magnoliopsida; Fabales; Fabaceae.
AUGAAAAAUUCUCAAAACAUCAACUGUAAAAAAAAAAAAAAAAAGAACUUUACCAUGAAUGCUUGUCUUCCACCUUUGACAUCAGCAUUUCCACCAGCAUCAUUUCCAGAAGAGUAGUCACUUGGUCCAGUAGGAAUGUUAUAAUUUGGAGUCUCCCCAGGUCCAGGUAAAGGUGUUUGAAUCGGAGUUUGCAACGGCGUCUGAGGAAAAAGUAUUUCAGCAGUAGGAGUU